This 253-nucleotide ribosomal RNA is filed under the name uncultured bacterium. RNAcentral describes it as "partial 16S ribosomal RNA". It matches the Rfam family "Bacterial small subunit ribosomal RNA", at positions 524 to 776 of the family's 1533-position model. The record is from RNAcentral.
UACGUAGGGUGCGAGCGUUGUCCGGAAUUAUUGGGCGUAAAGGGCUCGUAGGCGGUCUGUCGCGUCGAAAGUGAAAACUCAGGGCUUAACCCUGAGCCUGCUUCCGAUACGGGCAGACUAGAGGUAUGCAGGGGAGAACGGAAUUCCUGGUGUAGCGGUGAAAUGCGCAGAUAUCAGGAGGAACACCGGUGGCGAAGGCGGGUCUCUGGGCAGUAACUGACGCUGAGGAGCGAAAGCGUGGGGAGCGAACAGG